CUUCUUGUACCUUCAGGACCUUCUGGCUGUGUUAGUCUCUCUUCCUAACUGUUGAAAAGCAUGUUCUUGUUUAUUGGCAAGGCUAUCUGAGAUUUUGUCCUGCACAAGUAACAUUU
This is a small nucleolar RNA of Mesocricetus auratus (golden hamster), 116 nucleotides long. Lineage: Eukaryota; Metazoa; Chordata; Mammalia; Rodentia; Cricetidae. The record is from Ensembl.